RNAcentral lists this ribosomal RNA (301 nucleotides) under uncultured bacterium. RNAcentral describes it as "partial 16S ribosomal RNA". It matches the Rfam family "Bacterial small subunit ribosomal RNA", at positions 509 to 807 of the family's 1533-position model. The record is from RNAcentral.
CAGCAGCCGCGGUAAUACGGAGGGUGCAAGCGUUAAUCGGAAUUACUGGGCGUAAAGCGCACGCAGGCGGUCUGACAAGUCAGAUGUGAAAUCCCCGGGCUUAACCUGGGAACUGCAUUUGAAACUGUCAGGCUGGAGUCUUGUAGAGGGGGGUGGAAUUCUAGGUGUAGCGGUGAAAUGCGUAGAGAUCUGGAGGAAUACCGGUGGCGAAGGCGGCCCCCUGGACAAAGACUGACGCUCAGGUGCGAAAGCGUGGGGAGCAAACAGGAUUAGAUACCCCUGUAGUCCCUGUCUCUUAUAC